This 874-nucleotide unclassified non-coding RNA is filed under the name Hevea brasiliensis (rubber tree). Lineage: Eukaryota; Viridiplantae; Streptophyta; Magnoliopsida; Malpighiales; Euphorbiaceae. The record is from RNAcentral.
GGAGAUAAAGGACUUGAACAUGGAGUCAUUGAUACUUGAUUAAUUUUCCAUUCUGCGUUAUCAUAUACUCCUGUAAUUCUUGAUGGUUAGCGAAUUGUGUUGCGGAUUCUUUGGCCAAGAUGGGGGUUAGCUCGAUCACAGGAUUUUGUUGCUAUGCUCUGAUUUGUGGGGGCUCAUUUGCGAAGCAUGCUUCCUGUCCUCCCUUUUGCUCAGUUGACAUGUCAGCUUCCCCUUGGUUUAUGCAGGAUUGGCCCUGAUGCCUUUUGCUUUGAGGUGGUCCUCUCCUUGUGGUUUUGUCUUCUUCGCUUGUCUCCUUUUCAGAAUGAAUCACGUAUCGCUUGGUUGUCUGCAGCGUUCCCUCUUGCUGCUUCUCCUUUUGUAUCUGGCCAGAAUGUCGAAUCUAGGUGUUUCAGGGGAGCCUACCGGCUAGGCUUUGUUGUUUUUCUUAAUACCACAAAUGCUGAGUGAAAAAAAUCCUGUAAUAACAUUUGCAACUGCACAUUUGUCUUGCACGUUGAAAACCUUUCAGUUUCAUCCCCAUCAGCUUCUUAGUUUCUUCUGUCAUUUGCCGUUUGUUAGAUGAAGAAGCGCAUGGGACGAAGAUUGGUUUCAUUUCUUCCAUACAAGUCUUCUCAAGUUGAUGCUCUUUUUUACUACGUGUGGGAAAACAGAAGGAAAAGAUCACCUAACUAAAAAUACAAGUUGUCAUGUUUUAAAUUUGCUUCAACUACAUGCAUCUUAGGUGAGAAUCCUAUGCAACUCCACGUCAAGACUGGUGUGAAUGAUCAGCUUGAGCUUGUUUUGAUCUAAAAUUGAGAAAAGGUACAAAAGCACCUCUUUUAACGUGUAUACUUUGUCUACAUAUUGACCUCAA